UACGGAGGGUGCGAACGUUGUUCGGAAUCACUGGGCGUAAAGCGCGCGUAGGCGGCAUAGCAAGUCAGAUGUGAAAGCCCUAGGCUCAACCUGGGAAGUGCAUUUGAAACUGCUAAGCUAGAGUACGGGAGAGGGUUGUAGAAUUCCUGGUGUAGAGGUGAAAUUCGUAGAUAUCAGGAGGAAUACCAGUGGCGAAGGCGGCAACCUGGACCGAUACUGACGCUGAGGUGCGAAAGCGUGGGGAGCAAACAGG
RNAcentral lists this ribosomal RNA (253 nucleotides) under uncultured bacterium. RNAcentral's name for it is "partial 16S ribosomal RNA". It matches the Rfam family "Bacterial small subunit ribosomal RNA", at positions 524 to 776 of the family's 1533-position model. The record is from RNAcentral.